RNAcentral lists this long non-coding RNA (1071 nucleotides) under Amborella trichopoda. Its description in RNAcentral is "long non-coding RNA (ATRI_LNC003633)". Lineage: Eukaryota; Viridiplantae; Streptophyta; Magnoliopsida; Amborellales; Amborellaceae. The record is from RNAcentral.
ACUCUCAUUUAAAUAAAAAUGGUGCAGAAAAAAGGGAAACAAGAUUCUUUUCUUUUCGUUUAACACUUUAAGGCUUUGUUUGACAAAACAAAAUCUGGAUAUUCAUAUUUUUAGAAAUAUGAGUAUAGCCAUUACCAGUUUUCCAUAUAUAUGAACUAUAAAUUAUUCUGAAUAUGCAUACUUCUGAGCAUGUUUGACUGUCCACCUCUAUCUUAAAAUUUUGUCACAUUACUGUCCACCUCUAUCUUAAACUUGUCACAUUACCGUAAACAGAAGAGAGAGAAAGAGAAGUAGAGAGAGGAAGAGAGGAGUACUGUAGCUAAUUACAGGUUCGAAAAUAGAGAAGUAGCCAAUAAAUCUUUUUUCCUUUAGGGAGAGUAUAAAUAAUGCUACAGAAUUUAGUUUAGAGAGAAAUGUUAAUUUAGAAAGAGGGAAACAUUAAAAAAGCCUGUCCCAUUUACAGUACCCACUGAAAUUUUUGGAUAGAGAGAGGAGAGAGUACCCAUUCCAACUUCCUUCACCCCCAAGCCUCCCUCCAAUAGGAGAGAGAGCAAUUCGAGAGAGAGAAAGCAAAUACCUAGGUGAAAAGUCUUGGCAUACUCUAUCGUUCACAAAAAAAAAAGAAGUCAUGACAUACUUUGCUCAAACCUUGCUACAUUCAUCGUAUGCUUCAUUGAGGAGUUCCAAGGAAGCAGACAUGGCCUUGCCAGGUUUCACAUCCAUAACCAAAAAAGAGCUCCUCCUAUCUCCCACUAGAGCAACUUGCGAAGUAAGUUUUAAUGCCCUAUGUAGCAGCCUUUCAGCAAAAAGGGUCUUCAGUACUCCAUGAGCGGUGAUUGUUGAGAAACAAAUGGUUUGUGGUAAGAGAGAGAAAGAUGGUUUGCAAAAUGUGUGGAUCUAUAUAGGGUGAGAAUGAAAGUCAGUCUGGGUAGUUGGACUUUGCCAGAGUAGUAUAAGAGGGGGAAGAGUCCAGAAAAUUGAAAGAGAAGGAAGAUGGAGAGAUUUUGGGGGAUGGAGAGAGAUUGUGAGUGGGGAAGAAGAGAGUAAAGAAAGAGGAGAGCAGUAGAUGAU